Molecule: ribosomal RNA, 625 nt
Filed under: uncultured bacterium
Lineage: Bacteria
Description: bacterial SSU rRNA
Rfam family: Bacterial small subunit ribosomal RNA
Source: RNAcentral
AAAAACUGAGGUGGUAUACGAUGGUUCCGCGUCUGAUUAGCUAGUUGGUGGGGUAAAAGCCUACCAAGGCAACGAUCAGUAGCCGGCCUGAGAGGGUGAACGGCCACAUUGGGACUGAGACACGGCCCAAACUCCUACGGGAGGCAGCAGUGGGGAAUAUUGCACAAUGGGGGAAACCCUGAUGCAGCGACGCCGCGUGAGUGAAGAAGUAUUUCGGUAUGUAAAGCUCUAUCAGCAGGGAAGAAAUACUGACCAUAGGGUCAGCAGACGGUACUUGACUAAGAAGCCCCGGCUAACUACGUGCCAGCAGCCGCGGUAAUACGUAGGGGGCAAGCGUUAUCCGGAUUUACUGGGUGUAAAGGGAGCGUAGACGGCAGCGCAAGUCUGAAGUGAAAUGCCAGGGCUUAACCCUGGAACUGCUUUGGAAACUGUGCAGCUAGAGUGCAGGAGAGGUAAGUGGAAUUUCUAGUGUAGCGGUGAAAUGCGUAGAUAUUAGGAGGAACACCAGUGGCGAAGGCGGCUUACUGGACUCUAACUGACGUUGAGGCUCGAAAGCGUGGGGAGCAAACAGGAUUAGAUACCCUGGUAGUCCACGCUGUAAACGAUGAUUACUAGGUGUUGGGGG